GUUGAUGCCAUGCUUCCAAGAAAAGCUUCUAAGCUUCAGGUAACCAGGAACCGUACCCCAAACCGACACAGGUGGUUGGGUAGAGAAUACCAAGGCGCUUGAGAGAACUCGGGUGAAGGAACUAGGCAAAAUGGCACCGUAACUUCGGGAGAAGGUGCGCCGGUGAGGGUGAAGGACUUGCUCCGUAAGCUCAUGCCGGUCGAAGAUACCAGGCCGCUGCGACUGUUUAUUAAAAACACAGCACUCUGCAAACACGAAAGUGGACGUAUAGGGUGUGACGCCUGCCCGGUGCCGGAAGGUUAAUUGAUGGGGUUAGCUAACGCGAAGCUCUUGAUCGAAGCCCCGGUAAACGGCGGCCGUAACUAUAACGGUCCUAAGGUAGCGAAAUUCCUUGUCGGGUAAGUUCCGACCUGCACGAAUGGCGUAACGAUGGCGGCGCUGUCUCCACCCGAGACUCAGUGAAAUUGAAAUCGCUGUGAAGAUGCAGUGUAUCCGCGGCUAGACGGAAAGACCCCGUGAACCUUUACUAUAGCUUUGCACUGGACUUUGAAUUUGCUUGUGUAGGAUAGGUGGGAGGCUUUGAAGCGUGGACGCCAGUCUGCGUGGAGCCAUCCUUGAAAUACCACCCUGGCAACUUUGAGGUUCUAACUCAGGUCCGUUAUCCGGAUCGAGGACAGUGUAUGGUGGGUAGUUUGACUGGGGCGGUCUCCUCCUAAAGAGUAACGGAGGAGUACGAAGGUGCGCUCAGACCGGUCGGAAAUCGGUCGUAGAGUAUAAAGGCAAAAGCGCGCUUGACUGCGAGACAGACACGUCGAGCAGGUACGAAAGUAGGUCUUAGUGAUCCGGUGGUUCUGUAUGGAAGGGCCAUCGCUCAACGGAUAAAAGGUACUCCGGGGAUAACAGGCUGAUACCGCCCAAGAGUUCAUAUCGACGGCGGUGUUUGGCACCUCGAUGUCGGCUCAUCACAUCCUGGGGCUGAAGCCGGUCCCAAGGGUAUGGCUGUUCGCCAUUUAAAGUGGUACGCGAGCUGGGUUUAGAACGUCGUGAGACAGUUCGGUCCCUAUCUGCCGUGGACGUUUGAGAUUUGAGAGGGGCUGCUCCUAGUACGAGAGGACCGGAGUGGACGAACCUCUGGUGUUCCGGUUGUCACGCCAGUGGCAUUGCCGGGUAGCUAUGUUCGGAAUAGAUAACCGCUGAAAGCAUCUAAGCGGGAAACUAGCCUCAAGAUGAGAUCUCACUGGAACCUUGAGUUCCCUGAAGGGCCGUCGAAGACUACGACGUUGAUAGGUUGGGUGUGUAAGCGCUGUGAGGCGUUGAGCUAACCAAUACUAAUUGCCCGUGAGGCUUGACCAU
This 1353-nucleotide ribosomal RNA is filed under the name Pseudomonas sp. MF7451. RNAcentral's name for it is "partial 23S ribosomal RNA". It matches the Rfam family "Bacterial large subunit ribosomal RNA", at positions 1593 to 2925 of the family's 2925-position model. The record is from RNAcentral. Lineage: Bacteria; Pseudomonadati; Pseudomonadota; Gammaproteobacteria; Pseudomonadales; Pseudomonadaceae.